UGUGGGAGCGAGCCUGCUCGCGAAGGCGUCAGACUUUCAAUACAAAGGUGUCUGGCAUACCGCUUUCGCGAGCAGGCUCGCUCCCACA
This 88-nucleotide non-coding RNA is filed under the name Pseudomonas sp. LAMO17WK12:I5. RNAcentral also lists the same sequence under 1 other name. Lineage: Bacteria; Pseudomonadati; Pseudomonadota; Gammaproteobacteria; Pseudomonadales; Pseudomonadaceae. The record is from RNAcentral.